UUUAAGUUGUGAUACACGAAGUGUGGUCCUUUGGACAAUACUGUUUACCGAAAGUGUCCAACGGCUUUAAAGAGAGGGUUGCUGUGUAGGAGCAAGGUUUUGCGUAUAAGGGACGGUGAACAUGCCCAAAACUAUUGUGAGUGUUUAAAUUACUUUAAACAAUUAAUAGCUAGCAGAAGACCAUCCAGCCAGCAACUUACAAACCAGUUAGACUUACUUGAACAAAAUAUGUGUUUGAGCCUUGGAUACAAAUUGCCUUAUUAAUGUGACCCAAAUACUAAACUUUCUAUAGACAAGUUUUUCUUCCAAAAAGCAGAUCUCGUUUUCGUCUCGAAUUAUGAUGGAGUGCUUUGUGUGCUGACAUCUUCACUGAGCUGAGAUGGUACUUUCCAGCACGGACUCAUGUGUCAUGCAAAACAUUUGUCUCUUGUGGAGUGGUGACUACAACCAAACCGUAAACCUGUUGGGAUGAGCAUUAGCAUCGUUGUACAAUGAGGGGGUGACUAUAACUGGACCUGUUUGAAUGUGCAUCGUUGGAGGAUAUGGAACGAUGUUAUACGAUCAUUGGUUGAGGAGGUGAAAAGAGUCAACAGCAGACUGCUCAAUAUGAGAUGAUGGGAAUUGAUGACCACAUACAUGAAUCAUUGCUUUUUGGAGUGUGAGCCAACAACUGAAGGAGGACUUUUUUAAGUCUAGCCAUCAAUGACGUUGGAUUUUGAACCUAUAACCGUGUUGGACCUUGUGCCACCAACUGAAGGACGACUGUUUCAAAUUAAGACAUCAGAAGAUCUCCGCUCCAUGUUCAACUAAUGAAGUGACAUUGUAUUUUGGAGGCUAAUAAUUAUAAACUUGUGCUUUUUGUUAGAGUGCCACCAACUCAAGGAGGACUGUGCCAUGUCUAGCCAUCAAAAUGAAUCCCCCUCCAAG
Asterias rubens (European starfish) is the source of this 927-nucleotide long non-coding RNA. RefSeq lists it as uncharacterized. The transcript is spliced from 3 exons. The record is from RefSeq and is a predicted model, not a curated record. Lineage: Eukaryota; Metazoa; Echinodermata; Asteroidea; Forcipulatida; Asteriidae.